Molecule: ribosomal RNA, 591 nt
Filed under: Bacillus sp. BvIRR089
Lineage: Bacteria; Bacillati; Bacillota; Bacilli; Caryophanales; Bacillaceae
Description: bacterial SSU rRNA
Rfam family: Bacterial small subunit ribosomal RNA
Source: RNAcentral
ACGGGUGAGUAACACGUGGGCAACCUGCCUGUAAGACUGGGAUAACUUCGGGAAACCGGAGCUAAUACCGGAUAAUCCUUUUCCUCACAUGAGGAAAAGCUGAAAGUCGGUUUCGGCUGACACUUACAGAUGGGCCCGCGGCGCAUUAGCUAGUUGGUGAGGUAACGGCUCACCAAGGCGACGAUGCGUAGCCGACCUGAGAGGGUGAUCGGCCACACUGGGACUGAGACACGGCCCAGACUCCUACGGGAGGCAGCAGUAGGGAAUCUUCCACAAUGGACGAAAGUCUGAUGGAGCAACGCCGCGUGAGCGAUGAAGGCCUUCGGGUCGUAAAGCUCUGUUGUUAGGGAAGAACAAGUACCGGAGUAACUGCCGGUACCUUGACGGUACCUAACCAGAAAGCCACGGCUAACUACGUGCCAGCAGCCGCGGUAAUACGUAGGUGGCAAGCGUUGUCCGGAAUUAUUGGGCGUAAAGCGCGCGCAGGCGGUCCUUUAAGUCUGAUGUGAAAGCCCACGGCUCAACCGUGGAGGGUCAUUGGAAACUGGGGGACUUGAGUGCAGAAGAGGAAAGCGGAAUUCCACGUGUAGC